CGAAUUGUUCGCGAGGAAUAGCCUAGUGUCACUUAAAAUGACUGUAUUUCGGCGGCCUUUCUUACACCAAUUAUAUGUUCAAUCUCUUGUGCUCCGCCCUGUCAAAUAGAAAACACAGAAAAUAAGUUGAUCUAGGAAUGAAUAGCUCACAAUUGAAACAAACCAAAUAGGACGUGACCAGAAUUUACCUCGUCACCAAUGUGGGAAGAAGCCAUUUUUCGUGAAGUUACUUCCGCUCACGUAUUUGUUGACAUUGCUUCCUCAAUACUCCUAAUUACAACACUAAGACCACUUCGGCUUUCUAAAGCUUUAACUGCUGCUCGGUGUGCAUU
Molecule: long non-coding RNA, 332 nt
Filed under: Malus domestica (apple)
Lineage: Eukaryota; Viridiplantae; Streptophyta; Magnoliopsida; Rosales; Rosaceae
Description: long non-coding RNA (MDOM_LNC005239)
Source: RNAcentral